This 504-nucleotide ribosomal RNA is filed under the name uncultured bacterium. RNAcentral's name for it is "partial 16S ribosomal RNA". It matches the Rfam family "Bacterial small subunit ribosomal RNA", at positions 28 to 507 of the family's 1533-position model. The record is from RNAcentral.
GACGAACGCUGGCGGCGUGCCUAAUACAUGCAAGUAGAACGCACAGUCUAUACCGUAGCUUGCUACACCAUAAACUGUGAGUUGCGAACGGGUGAGUAACGCGUAGGUAACCUGCCUGGUAGCGGGGGAUAACUAUUGGAAACGAUAGCUAAUACCGCAUAAUAUUGAUUAUUGCAUGAUAAUGGAUUAAAAGUGCUUAUUCCACACUUACAGAUUGAACUGCGUUGUAUUAGCUAGUAGGUGAGGUAACGGCUCACCUAGGCGACGAUACAUAGCCGACCUGAGAGGGUGAUCGGCCACACUGGGACUGAGACACGGCCCAGACUCCUACGGGAGGCAGCAGUAGGGAAUCUUCGGCAAUGGACGAAAGUCUGACCGAGCAACGCCGCGUGAGUGAAGAAGGUUUUCGGAUCGUAAAGCUCUGUUGUAAGAGAAGAACGGGUGUGAGAGUGGAAAGUUCACACUGUGACGGUAUCUUACCAGAAAGGGACGGCUAACUACGUG